AACCGCACAAGCGUGGAGUAUGUUGUUUAUUCGAAGAUACACGAAGUAACCUUACCAGGUCUUGACAUACCAUUGACAGGUCUAGAGAUAGACCCUCCUUCGGGCAAUGGAUACAGGUGGUGCAUGGUUGUCGUCAGCUCGUGCCGUGAGGUGUUGGGUUAAGUCCCGCAACGAGCGCAACCCUCAUUGUUAGUUACUACCAUUCAGUUGAGGACUCUAAUGAGACUGCCAACGACAAGUUGGAGGAAGGUGGGGAUGACGUCAAAUCAUCAUGCCCUUUAUGACCUGGGCUACAAACGUACUACAAUGGCCAAUACAAAGAGAUGCGAAGCGGUGACGUGGAGCGAACCUCAGAAAGUUGGUCUCAGUUCAGAUUGAAGUCUGCAACUCGACUUCAUGAAGGCGGAAUCGCUAGUAAUCGCGAGUCAGCAGAUCGCGGUGAAUACGUUCCCGGGUUUU
This 459-nucleotide ribosomal RNA is filed under the name uncultured Mollicutes bacterium. RNAcentral describes it as "bacterial SSU rRNA". It matches the Rfam family "Bacterial small subunit ribosomal RNA", at positions 921 to 1377 of the family's 1533-position model. Lineage: Bacteria; Bacillati; Mycoplasmatota; Mollicutes. The record is from RNAcentral.